This 394-nucleotide ribosomal RNA is filed under the name uncultured bacterium. RNAcentral describes it as "bacterial SSU rRNA". It matches the Rfam family "Bacterial small subunit ribosomal RNA", at positions 355 to 766 of the family's 1533-position model. The record is from RNAcentral.
UCGGGAAUUUUGGGCAAUGGGCGAAAGCCUGACCCAGCAACGCCGCGUGAGGGAUGAAGUAUUUCGGUAUGUAAACCUCGAAAGAAUGGGAAGAAUAAAUGACGGUACCAUUUAUAAGCUCCGGCUAACUACGUGCCAGCAGCCGCGGUAAUACGUAGGGAGCAAGCGUUGUUCGGAUUUACUGGGCGUAAAGGGCGCGUAGGCGGCGCGGUAAGUCACUUGUGAAAUCUCUGAGCUUAACUCAGAACGGCCAAGUGAUACUGCUGUGCUAGAGUGCGGAAGAGGCAGCCGGAAUUCUUGGUGUAGCGGUGAAAUGCGUAGAUAUCAAGAGGAACACCUGAGGCGAAGGCGGGUUGCUGGGCCGACACUGACGCUGAUGCGCGAAAGCCAGGGG